UAAGGAAUAUUGGGCGAUGGACGCAAGUCUGACCCAGCCAUGCCGCGUGGAGGAAGACGGCGCUCAGCGUUGUAAACUCCUUUUAUCAGGGAAGAACAGCAGAGAUGCGUUUCUGUGUGACGGUACCUGAAGAAUAAGCACCGGCUAACUCCGUGCCAGCAGCCGCGGUAAUACGGAGGGUGCAAGCGUUAUCCGGAUUCAUUGGGUUUAAAGGGUGCGUAGGCGGCUUUUUAAGUCAGUGGUGAAAUCCUGUCGCUUAACGAUAGAAUUGCCAUUGAUACUGAAGAGCUUGAGUACAAUUGAGGUAAGCGGAAUGUGUAGUGUAGCGGUGAAAUGCUUAGAUAUUACACAGAACACCGAUUGCGAAGGCAGCUUACUAAACUGUUACUGACGCUGAUGCACGAAAGCGUGGGGAGCGAACA
Molecule: ribosomal RNA, 422 nt
Filed under: uncultured bacterium
Lineage: Bacteria
Description: bacterial SSU rRNA
Rfam family: Bacterial small subunit ribosomal RNA
Source: RNAcentral